Molecule: ribosomal RNA, 341 nt
Filed under: Drosophila melanogaster (fruit fly)
Lineage: Eukaryota; Metazoa; Arthropoda; Insecta; Diptera; Drosophilidae
Description: 28S ribosomal RNA, D2 domain
Source: RNAcentral
CCCGAAGUAUCCUGAAUCUUUCGCAUUGUUAAUCAUACAAGUGCAUAUAAUAAACACAAAAAUCAAUGAUAAUUAUGCCAUUAUAUAAUUCCGAAAAAUUAACGCACUGUAAUCAUAUAAAUCUAUCAGCACUUUAUCAAAUUAAUAACAUUUAUUCUGUGUUAAAAUGCAAGCAAUUUAAUUGGAAUAAACUAUAAGUUAUAUUUUAUGAUAAAUUUGGUAUAUGCUAAUAGAUUACAAUGUCCUUAUAUGGAAAAAAUGCACACUAUUCUCAUAAUAUUAUUUAAAUAUUACAAUUUUAAUGAUGAAUUUUCCAUAACGGAUAUUCAGGUUCAUCGGGC